CAGUAGCCGCGGUAAUACGAAGGGGGCUAGCGUUGCUCGGAAUGACUGGGCGUAAAGGGCGCGUAGGCGGUGGCCAAAGUCAGGCGUGAAAUUCCUGGGCUCAACCUGGGGGCUGCGCUUGAUACUUGGUUGCUUGAGUGGGGAAGAGGGUCGUGGAAUUCCCAGUGUAGAGGUGAAAUUCGUAGAUAUUGGGAAGAACACCGGUGGCGAAGGCGGCGACCUGGUCCUUGACUGACGCUGAGGCGCGAAAGCGUGGGGAGCAAACAGGAUUAGAUACCCCUGUAGUCCCUGUCUCUUAUAC
This 301-nucleotide ribosomal RNA is filed under the name uncultured bacterium. RNAcentral describes it as "partial 16S ribosomal RNA". It matches the Rfam family "Bacterial small subunit ribosomal RNA", at positions 509 to 807 of the family's 1533-position model. The record is from RNAcentral.